Molecule: long non-coding RNA, 4068 nt
Organism: Brassica rapa (field mustard)
Lineage: Eukaryota; Viridiplantae; Streptophyta; Magnoliopsida; Brassicales; Brassicaceae
Source: RefSeq, a predicted model, not a curated record
UGAUGAGUAUGUGUAUUGGAUCAUUGGUUAUAUGGUUUUGUGGUAUUUUUGGUGGAAGACGCAUGCAAGAAGGUUGAGAUGUAAUCGCAGUUUACUGAAGGAGAAAAACAGUGAUUGACACACCAUUGAUGACGUUAUGUUACAGGUACAAAAUAAUUGUAUAAACUCUUUAUAAAUAGUAAAAUAUAAAAUAGAUUAGUUUUCCAAAACAAGAUUAAGUAUGGUUCUAGCUACUAUUCCAUUUACAGAUCCCAGCAACACUCCCUAACACCCCCAAAACACUAAAACCAAACCCCCUCCACAACCCUUAAAUACUAAACCCAAUUUCCAACCCCUAAAUACUAAAUUCGAAUCACUAAACUCAAACCCUAUUCUAAACCCUAAACUCUAAUCAUUAACCCUAAACCCAAAUAUAAAAUAUAAUAUAAAGUUAUAAUACAUAUAAAGAAUAUGUGAAUAGAAAAAAUAAGCUAUUCCACUUAACAUAAAUUGUAUAGAAAUAUCAGAGCGUUGUAGAUUAUAAGAUACCCAAAUAUAAAAUACUAUUCCAUUUACAGACCCCACCAACACUCCCCUAACAUCCCCAAAAUACUAAACCCAACCCCCUUCCCAACCCUUAAAUACUAAACCCAAUGUCCACCCCUUAAAUACUAAACUCUAAAUCCGAAUCAUUAAACUCAAAUCCUAUACUAAAUCCUAAACUAUAAUCAUUAACCCUAAACUCAAAUAUAAAAUAUAAUAUGAAGUUAUAAUACAUAUAAAUAAUAUGUGAAUAGAAAAAAUAAGCUUAUUCCAUUUAACACAAAUGAUAUAGAAAUACGAGAGCGUUGUAGAUUAUAUAGUUUUGUAGUUUGAAAGGUGAAAAAGAAUAACAUUUCUUAAUCAUUAAACAAAAUAAAACACGAUAAACAUUAUAUUACUUAUUAAUUAUUAAUGAAUACUACGAAGAAGAGAAAUGUUAAUAUGCCAUCAUGUUCCAUUUCAUUGAAAUAAUACAUAAAUACAACAGGAGUGUAUAUAUUAAAUAGUAUAGUAAUUACAAUUAUGCAAAUAAUACUACUAUGUUAUAUACCUUUCUGCACUGAACAUAGUAUAGUUGCCGAAUUAUAAAAUUUUUGUUGGUCAUAUAGUCCAAUUUCCCAAAACAAUCUUGGUUUAAAUUCAUUUUCAAAUUUUUUUGUAGCAUCAUCUGCAAAUUAUGAUUUUAAAGUAAUUAUUAGUUUGAAUCUACUUUUAUAAAUUUAUAUUAUAGUAGAAGACUAUAAUAGAUAAUUAAUUUCAUAAUAAUAUAAUUUUACAAAAUCCUGUUCAGAAUAGCUAUUCAGUGUCAAUAUUACUUGAUCUGAAAAUGUAGUACACAAUAUAUGUAUUGAAAAUAUAAUAUUAUGAAUAAAAUAACAAUAUUUCAUAAAAAAAAUACUAAUAAAAAUUAUGGUAAUUUUUAAGGAAACAAUAAACUAAUUAUAUAUAUAAUAAAACCAAUGUACAAAGAUCAUUUUCAAAAGGUAAUCAAAUAAAAAUAAAACAGCAACCAAUUAUACUCUAAAAACUAACAAUAAUAUUUUUUUAAAUAAUCUUAACCGGUUUGGAUGAUAUGGUUUAUUUGAAUUUUUUAAUAAAAUAUAUGUAUUCUUAAAUAAUAAUUUUUUAUUGUCAUGCUAUUUAACUAGCUUUAGAAACAAAAUUUUAAUUUUUAUAUUAUCUACACCAAUAGGUUUAAAAACAUAUAAAAGACAAGAAAAGUAACAAUAUAUAUAUAUAUAUAUAUAUAUACAUAUAAGAAUGAAAAUAAUUCAUGAUUUAUGCAUUGAAUUUCAGCUGUAAUACAAGUACUUUACUUACUUUUAUAAUAAAGGUAUGAUUAACAUUAAAAAGGUAAAAAUAAUUUCAAUAAUGAAAAAUAAUUUCAAUAAUGAAAAAUAAUUUUUAAAACAUUUAUUUUUAAUAAAAACAACAAAAACAAAUAGUAAAGAUUAACAUUUUUUUAGUUUAGAACAAAACAAAUAUUCUUACACGUAUAUUAACAUAUAAUAUAUUUUAAUUAUUUUUUAUUUGCUUGCCCGCCUAUAAACCAGAUUUAACCUUAGUAUCAUAUAAAACAAACCAACUUCAGAAUUCUACAAUUUCACAUGCAACACAUCAAAUUUCUUCUCCAGUUAUUAAGAAGUAUUUUAAAAGCAAUAAAAUUUAAUACAAAAAGACUAGCAUUUAUUUCUUAUUGGAUCCUUAAACAGUAUGGAUAAAAAAAGAUUAAAGCAAAUAAAAAUAUAUGCAAAUUGCGUAAGAAAAUAACAAUACUAAAAGGCCAAUAUGCUGAGUUUAUAGCCUGUCCACGUCACUUAAAAUAUUCUUCCAAUCAUAACAUUUUAUUUUGACACGUCAGUGCAUCUUUAGUCUAGAAAAAAAAAAUACCGGGCCAUUAGUCUAUGCUUUUAAUAUUUCGCAAUGGCUCAGUUCAAGCCCAUCUUACCAAAAUCCUAAAGAUAGUGGACGAGAAUGACUUCUUCCAUUUCCUUAUCGUUUCAGCUCUCUGUAAAUGGACGUUAUCAUCAUCACUCUCGAUCAUUCAAUGGUGUUCUUUACUUUUUCAUCGCAGUUUUGUUCCACCUCCCUUUAUAUAGAGCUUGCAGUUCGUCUACAAGUUACUGAUCGGGUCUACGGUUUCGAUCCAGUCUCAUCAAUCUGAGAUUUAUUGUUACCCAAGAAGAACAGCGAUGCUUGGAAGUUUGUCAUGGAUUUCUCCUCCUCAUCUUCUGGUACAAUGCAAAGCCUACGAAGUAGUUGUGUUCGAAGAUAUCUUCCACGUCUUUCAUAAAUGAAUGUUAUUGAUGCAACUAUUCUGCCAAAAGUCGGUUUUUACGGGUCAACUCACAGAGCACGAAAAGUGACAACGACGGUGUGUGAAUCAGAAGUUGCUAUCAAUCAAGCUCUUCGCAUCGCAGUCGGUGAGACUUUAUUCUUCUUCUAUUUCCUUCAAGAGUUUGAAAUAGCCAAAGCCUAUUUCGUUUAGUGCCUGGACUCUCUUCUACUUGCUUUCUAAACCAUUUGAUCAGAACUCUCCAUCUAAUUUAUCAUGAGGAACACGUAGUUCAUAAUAUUGGUAAAUGUGGAAGUUUAAUAAAGAAAGUGGAAAAUUAUUUACAUUGUAUAGUUCAUGGUCUUCUUUUUCAGUUUGGCGUUAGUUGGUGGAACUCUUUUGUAGAAGAUAAUUGGCUUGGGUGGAGUCUUUUGCUGUAUAAUACAAUUAUCAUAAGAUUCCCAAAAGCCAUGUCUUUAACAGUCCUCUGUGUGAGCAAGUAUGUAUUUUGAAUCCUUCACAUCUUUACCUGUUUGGGUUUUAGGUUAGUCUUAUUGUUCUUGAUGAGUCAUUCAUAUAAGCUGUUUUUUAUCUGAUUGAGUCAGGGCAUUGCUGGAUUUGGUAUUGGUGUAGCAACAGCGUUGUGUUCUUCGCUGCAUUAUAUUUCUGUUUCUGUUGUACAUUGAUCUUGACAUAUUUAGGUGUUUGAUCUUGGCAUGAAAUGGAACAAAUGUGAAAAGGCAGUCGGUAGAUUACAUAUAUCCUACUUUUGAUUAGAUUGUUAAUGGAAUACAAGUGAGUGAAAAUGUAACAGAAGCAUCUACAAGAACAUGUCAAGUGAGAAAAUGUGUCUUCACAUCAUCUUUCUUAGCAUGCGCUUUGCAAGACAACCGUACAUCAACAGUAAGGUUUAAUAAAAUCACAACUUAUAUCUGCUUAAUUGACUAGAUAUAACAGUGCUCUUCAUCCACCAUAGUUAAAUAUAUCCUUCGACAUUAAUUCCAUUGCUUGGGUAUGCACUUGGAAAUGGUAUAACCCAAGAAAAACUAAAAGGAUUAGUUUUAACUUAGUUGUUACAUUUGCUUUUAUUUUUCUUUCAUUUUUUAUAUCAUGAUUUAUUAUCGUAAUUUAGUUUUCUCUACAAUAACUGUUAAAAAAAUUUCUACUGUGUUUUCUUUUGCGUAGAGGGAGGAGGGAGGUUUUUGUAAAGGCGGUACAAUUGAUAUUGAUGAAUACUUAUGAAUGAUUAUAAAAACUGUUAUUUUCCAACU